GAUAAACGCUGGCGGCGCACAUAAGACAUGCAAGUCGAACGGACUUAACUCGAAGUUUACUUUGAGAGCGGUUAGUGGCGGACUGGUGAGUAACGCGUGAGCAACCUGCCUAUUAGAGGGGAAUAACAGUGAGAAAUCACUGCUAAUACCGCAUAUGCUUACACUAUCACAUGAUAGAGUGAGGAAAGGAGCAAUCCACUAGUAGAUGGGCUCGCGUCUGAUUAGAUAGUUGGUGGGGUAACGGCCUACCAAGUCGACGAUCAGUAGCCGGACUGAGAGGUUGAACGGCCACAUUGGGACUGAGAUACGGCCCAG
This 315-nucleotide ribosomal RNA is filed under the name uncultured bacterium. RNAcentral's name for it is "bacterial SSU rRNA". It matches the Rfam family "Bacterial small subunit ribosomal RNA", at positions 28 to 334 of the family's 1533-position model. The record is from RNAcentral.